CCCACUUGAUUUUCAGCGUAAUUCAAAUAAGGUACAGCCUAUUUGAAACAGGAUACAACCUAAGCCAGUGGAUAAGAUCAGCCUCAUAUAUAACCAAGUGGGCCUAAGAGCAGCCAUCUUUAAUAAAUGCGUCAAAGCUUAGUUAUUAUACUGCUUAAUAAUUAAAUUUUUAUCUCAAUCCCUAAGCAAUACUGAGUAAUUCUAUAUUCUUAUAGAAAAUUUUAUGUUAAAACUAGUAACAAGAAGAAAACCCUUCUCUUAAAUGCAAGUGUGAAUCAGAAAGGAUAAGCCACUGACACUUAACAUCCCUGAGCCUAAAGUAGCAACCAACCAAGAAAACCCUACUCUUAUCUAUGUCAACCUAACACAAGAGCAUUACAAGAAAGAUUAAAAGAAAAAGAAGGAACUCGGCAAAUUUUAACCCCGCCUGUUUACCAAAAACAUCGCCUCUUGAGCCCCUAUAAGAGGUCUAGCCUGCCCAGUGACCCUGUUCAACGGCCGCGGUAUCCUAACCGUGCGAAGGUAGCGUAAUCACUUGUUCUUUAAAUGUGGACUAGUAUGAAUGGCAUCACGAAGGUUAUACUGUCUCCUCUUUCUAAUCAGUGAAACUAAUCUCCCCGUGAAGAAGCGGGGAUAAAAAUAUAAGACGAGAAGACCCUAUGGAGCUUUAAACAAAAUAGCACUUAUCACACUAAAUAAAAAAUUCCAGAAUUACUAAACUUCUAGGUAAUCUGACUAUAAGUUUUUGGUUGGGGUGACCGCGGAGCACAACAUAACCUCCAUGUUGAAAAGAAAGUUUCUAAGCUAAGACCCACAUCUCUAAGCAUCAAAAUAUUGACAUCCAUUGACCCAAUAAAUUUGAACAACGAACCAAGUUACCCUAGGGAUAACAGCGCAAUCCACUUCAAGAGCUCCUAUCGACAAGUGGGUUUACGACCUCGAUGUUGGAUCAGGGUCUCCCAGUGGUGCAGCCGCUACUAAA
This 982-nucleotide ribosomal RNA is filed under the name Duttaphrynus stuarti (Stuart's toad). RNAcentral's name for it is "partial large subunit ribosomal RNA". It matches the Rfam family "Bacterial large subunit ribosomal RNA", at positions 965 to 2569 of the family's 2925-position model. The record is from RNAcentral. Lineage: Eukaryota; Metazoa; Chordata; Amphibia; Anura; Bufonidae.